UCAUGAAGUUUGUUGGUGAUAGGUUUAACAAUGCUUUCAUGGUGUAGCGAGAUGGAGUUCUGGUCGCUAGAUGCCUCCUCUGAUGUUAUAUAGUGGGUAGUGACAUUAUGUGUUAAAGGAGGGAGUUCUAUCGUUAUAGAAUCAAUAGGGAUACAUACUUUACUGGUAGGAUGACUUUCUAAUGCAUUAAUGGAAUUAUUAAUUAUUUGUUUUUUAUUAUCUGUGGCAGCCUUGUCUAUUAGAGUAGAAGCAUCUAAGUUUU
This 262-nucleotide long non-coding RNA is filed under the name Solanum tuberosum (potato). RNAcentral's name for it is "long non-coding RNA (STUB_LNC011261)". The record is from RNAcentral. Lineage: Eukaryota; Viridiplantae; Streptophyta; Magnoliopsida; Solanales; Solanaceae.